This 68-nucleotide transfer RNA is filed under the name Clovia sp. EMHAU-2015-Zz052918. RNAcentral describes it as "tRNA-Asn". Lineage: Eukaryota; Metazoa; Arthropoda; Insecta; Hemiptera; Aphrophoridae. The record is from RNAcentral.
UUAGUUAAAGCCAAAAUAAGAGGCAAUUUAUUGUUAAUAAAUUUAUUGAAUUUUAUAUUCUAGCUAAG